RNAcentral lists this long non-coding RNA (1041 nucleotides) under Carica papaya (papaya). RNAcentral's name for it is "long non-coding RNA (CPAP_LNC011237)". Lineage: Eukaryota; Viridiplantae; Streptophyta; Magnoliopsida; Brassicales; Caricaceae. The record is from RNAcentral.
UUUAGUAUAAUUCAAUGCAAAGUCUCUAUUCAUUGACAAGAAUUAUCAACCAUGCUAAGAAAGAAUUACAAGAGCACUCGUUGAUCUUAAUGUGGGUAAAGUUGCACCAGUCCAACAAUAAAAAAUAAGUAGGUGCUAACCUCUGAUCUGAAACAAAUAAUGAUUCAGAGAUAAGCAGAUAGAGAAGAUAAAUCUUUAGAGAUAAAAGUUGACAAUCGAUGGGUAUGAGAUCAGCGCUUGACGGUGUAUGAUUGCUUCCAAAAUGGGUCUUUCAUCUCAAUAUUUCCUUGGAAUAAUUUCAAUCUUUUUAUGUGUUUUGACCAACAAAAAUUAAGAAAUCUUUCUCAAAUUUGCAUGAAAGUUGCAGUCUGCGAACUUACAAAAGGUUGAAAGUCUACGCUAUUAGAAAUCUUAAAACAAAGCCUAAAAUUUGGUCUGCAGUUUUUCUUUUUCCUUUUUCUAUUGUUUUCUUUGGAAUGGUGCCAGAAGAAAGCAAGUCCUUUCUCAAAGAAAGAACUUAGUUUUAAAGUAAAAGCAAAAGCAAAAAAGAGACGCAGAUGUAGAUCAUCAUGCAGGUGUUUGGCAAACACUGAAACGGAAGACGCUCAGAGGCCAACAUGGGUUCUAACUAGAGAUUACUAGAUUUGAUAUAUCGACACUGAUUCGAAUUCAAUUAAACUGGAACUGUAGAAAAUCCCAAUUCCCAGUACAGUAUUCAAAAUCAUAUCAUCACCCCAAACAACAGCCAAAUUGAUUGAAAAAGAAGAUCCAAACAAAAACACAAUAGGAUUUUUAUGUCCACGAAUUAAAUGAAAGAGAGAUCAGGGUAAAUAGAAAUCACAGCCCACGAUCAAUUUCUACCUCUAGCACUCUGUUCAUGGCCGUUUUCUUUAGCAAAAUAUGCGAUCGAAUUUCAUCUUGUCUGAGGGUUGCAGAAGUUAAAGGAUAAAGAUGCAGCCUGGAGAUUUCCAGAGCGUUGGGCAGAGGGGGAAAGUAAUUAAGAAAAGAGAAUGAUUGACAUGCGGUUGUCCAUGAUGUUUA